CGCCUCUUGAGCCCUAUAAGAGGUCCAGCCUGCCCAGUGACUUUGUUCAACGGCCGCGGUAUCCUAACCGUGCGAAGGUAGCGUAAUCACUUGUUCUUUAAAUAAGGACUAGUAUGAACGGCAUCACGAGGGUUACACUGUCUCCUUUUUCUAAUCAGUGAAACUAAUCUUCCCGUGAAGAAGCGGGAAUAUGUAUAUAAGACGAGAAGACCCUAUGGAGCUUAAAACAACUCAACACUUGCUUAAAUUAUUAAAAAUUUCAGAACUUUAGACUCCUCAAGCAAUAUGAUUGUAAAGUUUUUGGUUGGGGUGACCACGGAGUGUAAUAUAACCUCCAUGUUGAAAGAGAUUAUCCUCUAAGCUAAGAAUUACCUGUCUAAGCAUCAACACACUGACAUUCCUUGACCCAAUAUAUUUGAUCAACGAACCAAGUUACCCUAGGGAUAACAGCGCAAUCUACUUCAAGAGCUCCUAUCGACAAGUGGGUUUACGACCUCGAUGUUGGAUCAGGGUAUCCUAGUGGUGUAGCCGCUACUAAAGGU
RNAcentral lists this ribosomal RNA (542 nucleotides) under Rhinella yanachaga. RNAcentral's name for it is "partial 16S ribosomal RNA". It matches the Rfam family "Bacterial large subunit ribosomal RNA", at positions 1831 to 2572 of the family's 2925-position model. The record is from RNAcentral. Lineage: Eukaryota; Metazoa; Chordata; Amphibia; Anura; Bufonidae.